UUAAAAACCUUCGAAGUCACGAGCUUCAACUGCUCACUCCUGCGAUGACUUGAUGCGUUUCCCCAGCGAAGUAGUGCUUCAGCAGUGGAGGCGGAGAUAAUGGGAGCCGCAGUGUAGAGAAUCUGAACGCUCGAAGGAUACUCGCUUGGGCGAACAUAGCAAACGGCGAAGAUCGUCGAAGUCCUAGCUGGAGUGGUAGUUACUAGGCUUCGGUUUUAAUUUUUUCAGAUUACAAAGGUUACUUAAAGGUUAUCAGACUGGGCUUCGAUUUGGUCUCCAGGCUUCUACAUUUUGGUCUGGUCGUCACCACCAACCUUGGAAACGUUUUUCUAUUUGUCUUCUUACUUCCUAUGAUUGAAGCAAAUACGAAGAAAUUUGUUUACAAUGAAUUGAAGUAUUCUGCUUCCUCACAUGCGAGCCAUAGAUAAAAGAGGAGUUUCAUGAAGGUCUAUACGUGAGAAUUUUUGAGGUCAAGCCCAAUCUUCAUGUGCAAGUACGAAGAAAUUUGUUUCCAACGAAUUGAAGCAUUAUGCUUCCUCACAUACAGCACAUAAACAAAAGAGGAGCAGAGGAAGAGGCAGCAGAUAAUCUGAACACACAGUUGUGUAAGAGAAGAAACAUGAGCACUCUUUCACUGGAACACCGUGGUCUCCUUCAAGCCAUCGCUACUAUCCUCACCUCCAGUCAGGUCCAAUUCCACCAUCUCAAACCCUACA
Molecule: long non-coding RNA, 716 nt
Organism: Neltuma alba
Lineage: Eukaryota; Viridiplantae; Streptophyta; Magnoliopsida; Fabales; Fabaceae
Exons: 3
Source: RefSeq, a predicted model, not a curated record